This is a long non-coding RNA of Syngnathus acus (greater pipefish), 121 nucleotides long. RefSeq lists it as uncharacterized. The record is from RefSeq and is a predicted model, not a curated record. NCBI's taxonomy places the organism in Eukaryota, Metazoa, Chordata, Actinopteri, Syngnathiformes, Syngnathidae. The transcript has 2 exons.
CUCACAGGUGACUGAUAUGCUUGUUCCAGAAGCACUCGAAAUCAGCCAUGAUGGAAGUGAAGAGAGCGUUGGAACUAUGACAUUGCUUUGUAAAUCGCAAAUAAAACAUCUUUGACAUUUU